This 73-nucleotide transfer RNA is filed under the name Candidatus Portnoybacteria bacterium RIFCSPHIGHO2_02_FULL_39_12. Its description in RNAcentral is "tRNA-Met". It matches the Rfam family "tRNA". Rfam says of the family: Transfer RNA (tRNA) molecules are approximately 80 nucleotides in length. Lineage: Bacteria; Candidatus Portnoyibacteriota. The record is from RNAcentral. RNAcentral also lists the same sequence under 3 other names.
AGCGGGGUGGAGCAAUUGGAAGCUCGCAAGGCCCAUAACCUUGAGGUUACAGGUUCGAGUCCUGUCCCCGCAA